This 48-nucleotide transfer RNA is filed under the name Gymnosphaera capensis. RNAcentral describes it as "partial tRNA-Gly". Lineage: Eukaryota; Viridiplantae; Streptophyta; Polypodiopsida; Cyatheales; Cyatheaceae. The record is from RNAcentral.
CUGAAUUAGAGAUGCCAUAACCAUCCAGUGACAUCGACUAUAACCCUU